GACGAACGCCGGCGGCGUGCCUAAUACAUGCAAGUUGAGCGAUGAAGAUUGGUGCUUGCACCAAUUUGAAGAGCAGCGAACGGGUGAGUAACGCGUGGGGAAUCUGCCUUUGAGCGGGGGACAACAUUUGGAAACGAAUGCUAAUACCGCAUAAUAACUUUAAACAUAAGUUUUAAGUUUGAAAGAUGCAAUUGCAUCACUCAAAGAUGAUCCCGCGUUGUAUUAGCUAGUUGGUGAGGUAAAGGCUCACCAAGGCGAUGAUACAUAGCCGACCUGAGAGGGUGAUCGGCCACAUUGGGACUGAGACACGGCCCAAACUCCUACGGGAGGCAGCAGUAGGGAAUCUUCGGCAAUGGACGAAAGUCUGACCGAGCAACGCCGCGUGAGUGAAGAAGGGUUUCGGAUCGUAAAACUCUGUUGGUAGAGAAGAACGUUGGUGAGAGUGGAAAGCUCAUCAAGUGACGGUAACUACCCAGAAAGGGACGGCUAACUACGUG
RNAcentral lists this ribosomal RNA (497 nucleotides) under uncultured bacterium. RNAcentral's name for it is "partial 16S ribosomal RNA". It matches the Rfam family "Bacterial small subunit ribosomal RNA", at positions 28 to 507 of the family's 1533-position model. The record is from RNAcentral.